GAUGACCAAAAAACUAGAACUUUUCCAAUGGUUAUCUCUGUUUUCCCUUAAUUGUUAAAGAGAUAGGUGGAGUAAUAACUAUCUUCUUUACAGGAUAUCCUCGUUUUGCUUUCUAAAUCCUCAUCGUUAUCACUAUCACCACCUGGAUCUCUUGCAGCUAGGUUGGACUCCGUAGCAUCUUUCGAAGCUUUUCUUUUCCCAAACUGCAAGUGGGCAUACAAUUUCCUUUCCACGGGGUCAUUUGAAGGUCUGGUUCUCAUUUGACAUGAAAAGUCACCAAGACCGAGUCUAUAGAAAGAUUUGAAUUCGAUUUAACAAUACUACAUCUAGGAAAAUAUUACAUGGGAAGAUUAAGAAGAUAGCCUUUACUGACCUAGAUGGUCUUGGAUUCUGCCUCUGUUUGCUUGUCCUUAUCAACUUCAAUCAUAUUAUUGACAUAUCGUUCAGCUUAACAAUAAGCAUGUUUCCAUCAAUGGAAGAAGCUUGACAUCUAUCACGCCCUCAACUGUACAUGUAUAGAGGCAAUGACAUGCUUGUCCUUCCACCCGAAGACGUAACCUCAAGCAUAACCAUCAUCAAC
RNAcentral lists this long non-coding RNA (580 nucleotides) under Eucalyptus grandis. RNAcentral describes it as "long non-coding RNA (EGRA_LNC000503)". Lineage: Eukaryota; Viridiplantae; Streptophyta; Magnoliopsida; Myrtales; Myrtaceae. The record is from RNAcentral.